UACGAAGGUGGCAAGCGUUGUUCGGAUUUACUGGGCGUAAAGCGUGCGCAGGCGGUGAUGUAAGACAGAUGUGAAAUCCCCGGGCUCAACCUGGGAACUGCAUUUGUGACUGCAUCGCUGGAGUACGGCAGAGGGGGAUGGAAUUCCGCGUGUAGCAGUGAAAUGCGUAGAUAUGCGGAGGAACACCGAUGCGAAGGCAAUCCCCUGGGCCUGUACUGACGCUCAUGCACGAAAGCGUGGG
RNAcentral lists this ribosomal RNA (241 nucleotides) under uncultured bacterium. Its description in RNAcentral is "partial 16S ribosomal RNA". It matches the Rfam family "Bacterial small subunit ribosomal RNA", at positions 524 to 765 of the family's 1533-position model. The record is from RNAcentral.